UACGUAGGGACCAAGCGUUGUUCGGAAUUACUGGGCGUAAAGGGCGCGCAGGCGGCUGCUCAAGUCAGGCGUGAAAUCCUGGAGCUCAACUCCAGAACUGCCUUUGAUACUGAAGAUCUUGAGUUCGGGAGAGGUGAGUGGAACUGCGAGUGUAGAGGUGAAAUUCGUAGAUAUUCGCAAGAACACCAGUGGCGAAGGCGGCUCACUGGCCCGAUACUGACGCUGAGGCACGAAAGCGUGGGGAGCAAACAGG
Molecule: ribosomal RNA, 253 nt
Filed under: uncultured bacterium
Lineage: Bacteria
Description: partial 16S ribosomal RNA
Rfam family: Bacterial small subunit ribosomal RNA
Source: RNAcentral